CGGGUGAGUAACGCGUGAGGAACCUGCCUCAAAGAGGGGGACAACAGUUGGAAACGACUGCUAAUACCGCAUAAGCCCACGGCUCGGCAUCGAGCAGAGGGAAAAGGAGUGAUCCGCUUUGAGAUGGCCUCGCGUCCGAUUAGCUAGUUGGUGAGGUAAUGGCCCACCAAGGCGACGAUCGGUAGCCGGACUGAGAGGUUGAACGGCCACAUUGGGACUGAGACACGGUCCAA
RNAcentral lists this ribosomal RNA (233 nucleotides) under uncultured bacterium. RNAcentral describes it as "partial 16S ribosomal RNA". It matches the Rfam family "Bacterial small subunit ribosomal RNA", at positions 103 to 334 of the family's 1533-position model. The record is from RNAcentral.